AAAGGAAUCAAGGGCGUACAGUGGAUGCCUUGGCACUAAGAGCCGAAUGAAGGGACGA
RNAcentral lists this ribosomal RNA (58 nucleotides) under Candidatus Phytoplasma sacchari. RNAcentral's name for it is "partial 23S ribosomal RNA". The record is from RNAcentral. Lineage: Bacteria; Bacillati; Mycoplasmatota; Mollicutes; Acholeplasmatales; Acholeplasmataceae.